GAUGAACGCUGGCGGCGUGCCUAAUACAUGCAAGUAGAACGCUGAAGGAGGAGCUUGCUCUUCUGGAUGAGUUGCGAACGGGUGAGUAACGCGUAGGUAACCUGCCUGGUAGCGGGGGAUAACUAUUGGAAACGAUAGCUAAUACCGCAUGACAACAGUUAUUGCAUGAUAACUGUUUAAAAGGGGCAACUGCUCCACUACCAGAUGGACCUGCGUUGUAUUAGCUAGUUGGUGAGGUAACGGCUCACCAAGGCGACGAUACAUAGCCGACCUGAGAGGGUGAUCGGCCACACUGGGACUGAGACACGGCCCAGACUCCUACGGGAGGCAGCAGUAGGGAAUCUUCGGAAAUGGACGGAAGUCUGACCGAGCAACGCCGCGUGAGUGAAGAAGGUUUUCGGAUCGUAAAGCUCUGUUGUAAGAGAAGAACGAGUGUGAGAGUGGAAAGUUCACACUGUGACGGUAGCUUACCAGAAAGGGACGGCUAACUACGUG
This 495-nucleotide ribosomal RNA is filed under the name uncultured bacterium. Its description in RNAcentral is "partial 16S ribosomal RNA". It matches the Rfam family "Bacterial small subunit ribosomal RNA", at positions 28 to 507 of the family's 1533-position model. The record is from RNAcentral.